ACGACAUUCGCCACUUGGAUACCAGACUUUGAUCCUGGCUCAGGAUGAACGCUAGCUACCAGGCUUUAACACAUGCAGAGUCGAGGGGAAACGACAUCGAAAGCUUGCUUUUGAUGGGCGUCGACCGGCGGCACGGGUGAGUAACGCGUAUCCAACCUGCCCACCACUUGGGGAUAACCUUGCGAAAGUAAGACUAAUACCCAAUGACGUCUCUAGAAGACAUCUGAAAGAGAUUAAAGAUUUAUCCGGUGAUGGAUGGGGAUGCGUCUGAUUAGCUUGUUGGCGGGGUAACGGCCCACCCAAGGCAACGAUCAGUAGGGGUUCUGAGAGGAAGGUCCCCCACAUUGGAACUGAGACACGGUCCUAAACUCCUACGGGAGGCAGCAGUGAGGAAUAUUGGUCAAUGGACGAGAGUCUGAACCAGCCAAGUAGCGUGCAGGAUGACGGCCCUAUGGGUUGUAAACUGCUUUUAUAAGGGAAUAAAGUGAGUCUCGUGAGACUUUUUGCAUGUACCUUAUGAGUAAGGACCGGCUAAUUCCGUGCCAGCAGCCGCAGUAAUACGGAAGAGUCCGGGCGUUAUCCGGAUUUAUUGGGUUUAAAGGGAGCGUAGGCCGGAGAUUAAGCGUGUUGUGAAAUGUAGACGCUCAACGUCUGCACUGCAGCGCGAACUGGUUUCCUUGAGUACGCACAAAGUGGGCGGAAUUCGUGGUGUAGCGGUGAAAUGCUUAGAUAUCACGAAGAACUCCGAUUGCGAAGGCAGCUCAUUGGAGCGCAACUGACGCUGAAGCUCGAAAGUGCGGGUAUCGAACAGGAUUAGAUACCCUGGUAGUCCGCACGGUAAACGAUGGAUGCCCGCUGUUGGUCUGAAUAGGUCAGCGGCCAAGCGAUUGCAUUAAGCAUCCCACCUGGGGAGUACGCCGGCAACGUGCCUAUUCAAAUGAAUUGACGG
RNAcentral lists this ribosomal RNA (949 nucleotides) under uncultured bacterium. RNAcentral describes it as "bacterial SSU rRNA". It matches the Rfam family "Bacterial small subunit ribosomal RNA", at positions 1 to 916 of the family's 1533-position model. The record is from RNAcentral.